Molecule: long non-coding RNA, 8169 nt
Organism: Salvia miltiorrhiza (redroot sage)
Lineage: Eukaryota; Viridiplantae; Streptophyta; Magnoliopsida; Lamiales; Lamiaceae
Exons: 2
Source: RefSeq, a predicted model, not a curated record
ACCAUUUACUACCUUUGCAAAUUUUAUUUGAAAAUUUAUUGUAUUUUCGAGAUAUUAAAAAUAUAAAUCUAUGAGUCGAGUUUGUGAUGAAUUAUCUAGUCGCGCCCCUAGCUAGAUAUAUGACUCUAAAUUCUAGGUUAUACCUAUAGAAAUAAAGUUUUAUAUUCUAAAAUAUUUUUAUAUAAAUUUGGGCCUAAAUAAAUUUAUUUACUUAAAUAUAUUUAUCAUGGACAUUAUAUUAAUUUUUGGAUUAAGAAUAAAAUAUUUCAUAAUUUUUUUAAGUGUGCUUAUUGUUAUUAAUGUGCCAAAUUCUUUUGCAAUGAUCCUAAAACAAUUAUUCAAGUUUCAACAUUUAUAGUUUAUUAAUGAUUUUAAGGAUUUGGAUACCUUAUUUUCGUAUCUGCAAAUUUACAAUUUCUACUCUAUUUAUUUACAUUUGUUUAAAGAAGUCUCCAAGCCAGCCAUUCCUAUUUUCAUUCUUAUCAGAUAUCUAACCGCUCUAAUUAAAUAAAUGACUUUGAACUAUAGAUUAUAUUUAUAAAAAGAUACAAAUUUAUAUUAUCAAAUAUUUUUAAUAAAUAUGUUGGGCCAUAGUUUUUAUUCUUUUUCUAUGAUAGUUGGGUUAAAAUUUUAUUAUUUGAAAGCUCAUUUAUCAUCUUUAAAGCCCAAUUAUUAUUAUAAGCUCAUAUGUCUUUCUUUAAUUAAAAUGAGAUGUUACGUGGUUCAGUUUUUCCUUAGCCAAAUAUUCUGAUUUAAUCUCCUUCAGCCACCUAAUUUUAUUCAGCCACGUAUCACUCACUGCCAUCACAUUUAAAAUUCACCCAAAUAACUUGCUAGGUUUCAUUUCAUCAAAAUUUCCAGAGCACAAAUUUCAUUCAAGUUAACAGACUUCUCAUUUCUGUUCCUUCACAAAACUUCAGCUGGUAAUUUUAUUGUUUCGGUGAGAUUUCAUGUUUUAAUUCAUCACAGCAAAUUACUACGUUUUUUUUUCAUUCUCAUUUAUUUAUUUUGUGAAACAACACUAGCCCAUUUAUUUAUCAUACAUUACAAGCCCAUAUAUAUAUAUAUAUAUAUAUAUAUAUAUAUAUAUAUUAUUAAUGUGUAAAUAAAUUUUUAUGAAAAUGACUUCAGCUACAUAUCCACAUUUACUCAGCUUCAGCCAUAUAUCACUGUAGUACCUUUCCGUCAGAUUUGAUCAAAACUACAGCAAAACUUUGAUUUCAAAAGCAGCAUGAUCAAUACAGCAGCAAAACUUUGAUCAGCAAACUUUGAUUUCUUUCACAUUCAAAUCUUUGACGAACAAGUAAUUUACUACCUAUUUAAAUAUGACCAUCAUCGCUGCAAAUUUUACAAAGCAAAACUAUACUUUCGGAAAAAUCAAGUUUUUCUUUAUUUUUCCAAAUAUUUUUUUAUAUGAAUUUGGACCUCAAUAAAUUAUAGCUUAUUUAUAUUGGAGCAGAUUUAUGAUGUUGGGCCAAAUAUAUUAUGUAACUUUGCAUAAUUUUAAAACAUUAGCUAUUAUUAAAUAUAAAUUUUAUUCUUAACAUUUUAGUAUAAUUUGGGCCUUGUAUAAAAUAUUUUUGUAGGCUAUUUGUUUGAAGCCUCACUUGUAUUCAUGGGGUAAAAAUAUUGAAAAACCCAUAAUAUUUUAGAUACUUAUCGAAUGUGAUUCUUUAAAUUUUUUGUAGAAUUUCAACCACAACUUUAAUUCUUCCAGUUUAAGAAUCCUCCUCAGCCAUCCAAUUUAUUUAGUCAAUCUUGUGCAAUAAGGAAUUCAUUUUAUCCUUUCCACCGCCUCAUUUUUUUUAUAAAAUUAGCUUCUCUCAUUUUCUGGAAAUAUUUCGAAAAUACAGCAAGCCAAAUUUGAUUUCCACAGCAGCAAAUUUUGAAGCAGCAAACUUUGAAGCAACAAAGUUUGAUUGAUCUCUUUUCACACUUUCACACGUUCUAUGUCAAAUAUUUCAAUCUAUUUAAACAUCAAUGUAUCAUUCUCAAAUUCACAAAUCAACAAAAAUUCACUCAAAUAUUUCCAAUUCGCAGCAACUGAUUUACUUCACUCAUUCAAGCUGGUAAUUUUAAUAACUUUCGAAAAGUUAUUUCAUUUCAAGCAUAUCAACAAUUUUCUGCAUUUUCGCCAAAACCAAUGCUAAACAUCAAAAACUUUGUUUUCAAAAUCCAAUCAUGCAUACAUCUAUUUUUCUGUAAUUUAUAUAUAUUGCUAAAUACAUGAAAAAGAAAAUAGAAUAAAUCUUAUAUAUUACAUGAGAAAUAGAGAUAGAAGAAGUGGAAGAGGGAUGGUGGCUUAGAAACAAGGGGGCGGUUGAGCAGCAGUAUUGCCGGCGCUGCACGUCGGCCGGCGGAAGGAGACAGGGGCGGCGGCGCUGUGGUCUCGACCGCUGCCGUGCCUUGCUGGUCGAGACAGAGGGAGCAGGAGGCGGCGAUGGAAGCCCCGCUGCUGCUGUCGGCCAGGAGGUGAAGGAGAUGAGGGAGGCGGUGACUAGGCGGCGCUGCUGUCGACGUGGGAGCGACGAUGGCGGCCGUUGCUACCGGCCGAAGGAGAGAGGGAGGGGGCUGUAGACACGGGGGUGAGGUCGUUGGAGAGAGAGACGACGCAGAGAGGGAGAGUGAGGGCGAGAGCCGCCAGCUCCGGCGGCGGCGUUGCCGUCUGGUGGCGGCGGAAGGGUGAGACCGAGGGAGAGAAGGAGAGAGGGAGAAAGGGGAAGAAGGGAGCUGCGCAUGGAGCGUGUAUUGUGAAGUAGUGGUGUGUGUGUGAGAUCUUUAAGUUAGGGCAAGAGAGGAGAGUGGGCUUGGGCUUAGGCCUAAGCUAAUUUAUGAAUGGGCUAAGUUUAUCAAGUGUUUGGACUAGCAUUUUAUUUAGUUAAUUCUUUUAAGCAGUGCGGCGCGACUAGGACGUGAACUUUAAAUUCUUGCAGUUAAUUUUCAAAACUCAAAAGUUCAAGUUUCAGGUGUGGGAUUUAUUUCAGUACAUGCACGUGGUUAAUAUUUGUCCAUUUUAAUAUUAUGUGUUUACCGUAUGUGUUGUAAAAAUAUUUAUCGCUAGGGGCCAGCAUAAUUGGUCCAGGACUUCACCGUCCUUGGUAUGCCACAAUGCGAUUUCACGUUACAGGGUUGCAACCAUUAUAUUGUCGCCAGGGAUCCAUAUAUAGGGUCCGGGACAUUAAAGUCCUUGGAGUUGCCACAGUGCGUAUGGAAGUUAUGUUACGUUAUGACAAUAUGUGUUACCAUUUUAUUAACAUGGACAAUUAUUGCAUGUUCCCACACUGAGUGUACCCUGUAUGCUCAUCCCAUAUUCAACAGUUUCAGGUGAUUGAUAUCGGAGGCGCGUGGAGAGUCGAAUGGGCGCGUCGAAUCUAUUUAAAGAUAAAUGUUUCUUAAAACAUAUUAUGUUAUUUCAUGUGAUAUCUUUUAGUUAUGUAAACUCUGAAAUUCUAUACUAUUUGAGAUUUGUGUAUGAUUUGUUUAAAUAAAUGUUAUUAUAUUAUUUUAAUGUCAUGACUUGUUUAAUUUAUAUUUAAAUUCAUUUCAAAUAUUUAUUUAAGAAUUUAUAUCUUUACGAAAAUAUAUAUAUGGAUACAUACAUAAUUUUUAAUUAUAUAAAGAUUUUAUUUUGUUAUAUUUUCCGCUGCUAAAAAGAUAUUAUUUUAUAUUUAGAGUUUUUCCUUAGUAAAAGUUUUAUUAAUUAGUUAAUUAUUUUUCUGACAUCUUCAUGUCGUGCUUUGAAAAUAAAGUUGUUUAAAUUUAUGAAUUCAAAAUCAAGUUUUAUAUUUGAAUACAUUAUUGAAAAUUUUGAUAUCUUAUAAAUCGUUUUAAAAGUGCUUUAAAAACCAAUUUUAUUUAAAGAUUUCUUUUUCUUAAAAUUAUUUUCGAAAAUAUUUAUUUUAAAAGUGAGUUUUAAAUUAUUUUAAAAGACUUUCGCAUUAAAUAUUUAUUUAAAUUUUAUAUUUAACUCCUUAAUUAGAUUAGGGUGUUACAGCAUGGUAUCAGAGCAGGUCUACUUUCCUGUAGACUCUGCAAAAUAUUUUACAUAAAAUUCUUAAAUGUCAUGUGUGAGAAAAUCCAUUCGACCUCUACGUGCUCCGACUUCAAGGUAAAUGUAUUUUAAAAGUAUUUCAAAAUAUUUUAUAGGGAUGAGUAUAAAUUGUUUACGUUGAAAGUAUGUUGAAAUUUGCUGCAAUAAUUGAAGUUAUUAUCAGAAAGUUCAAGUUCAUUAUGCAAGUUAUUAUGAGAAAGUUCAGUAUUCAAAUUAUAUGUUGAAGAUUAUUGCAGCUAUGAGUAAAGAUAUUUCAAAUAUUUUUCAAGAUGAUGAGUAUAAAUUAUUUACGUUGAAAGUAUAGUGAAAUUGCUGCAAUGAUUGAAGUUAUUAUGAGAAAAUGUUCAAGUUCAGUAUUCAAGUUAUUAUGUUGAAGAUUAUUGCAACUAUGAAUUGUCAAAUUUCGAGGACGAAAUUCUUUUAAGUGGGUAGGUUUGUCACAGCCCAAAACCAUUUACUACCUUUGCAAAUUUUAUUUGAAAAUUUAUUGUAUUUUCGAGAUAUUAAAAAUAUAAAUCUAUGAGUCGAGUUUGUGAUGAAUUAUCUAGUCGCGCCCCUAGCUAGAUAUAUGACUCUAAAUUCUAGGUUAUACCUAUAGAAAUAAAGUUUUAUAUUCUAAAAUAUUUUUAUAUAAAUUUGGGCCUAAAUAAAUUUAUUUACUUAAAUAUAUUUAUCAUGGACAUUAUAUUAAUUUUUGGAUUAAGAAUAAAAUAUUUCAUAAUUUUUUUAAGUGUGCUUAUUGUUAUUAAUGUGCCAAAUUCUUUUGCAAUGAUCCUAAAACAAUUAUUCAAGUUUCAACAUUUAUAGUUUAUUAAUGAUUUUAAGGAUUUGGAUACCUUAUUUUCGUAUCUGCAAAUUUACAAUUUCUACUCUAUUUAUUUACAUUUGUUUAAAGAAGUCUCCAAGCCAGCCAUUCCUAUUUUCAUUCUUAUCAGAUAUCUAACCGCUCUAAUUAAAUAAAUGACUUUGAACUAUAGAUUAUAUUUAUAAAAAGAUACAAAUUUAUAUUAUCAAAUAUUUUUAAUAAAUAUGUUGGGCCAUAGUUUUUAUUCUUUUUCUAUGAUAGUUGGGUUAAAAUUUUAUUAUUUGAAAGCUCAUUUAUCAUCUUUAAAGCCCAAUUAUUAUUAUAAGCUCAUAUGUCUUUCUUUAAUUAAAAUGAGAUGUUACGUGGUUCAGUUUUUCCUUAGCCAAAUAUUCUGAUUUAAUCUCCUUCAGCCACCUAAUUUUAUUCAGCCACGUAUCACUCACUGCCAUCACAUUUAAAAUUCACCCAAAUAACUUGCUAGGUUUCAUUUCAUCAAAAUUUCCAGAGCACAAAUUUCAUUCAAGUUAACAGACUUCUCAUUUCUGUUCCUUCACAAAACUUCAGCUGGUAAUUUUAUUGUUUCGGUGAGAUUUCAUGUUUUAAUUCAUCACAGCAAAUUACUACGUUUUUUUUUCAUUCUCAUUUAUUUAUUUUGUGAAACAACACUAGCCCAUUUAUUUAUCAUACAUUACAAGCCCAUAUAUAUAUAUAUAUAUAUUAUUAAUGUGUAAAUAAAUUUUUAUGAAAAUGACUUCAGCUACAUAUCCACAUUUACUCAGCUUCAGCCAUAUAUCACUGUAGUACCUUUCCGUCAGAUUUGAUCAAAACUACAGCAAAACUUUGAUUUCAAAAGCAGCAUGAUCAAUACAGCAGCAAAACUUUGAUCAGCAAACUUUGAUUUCUUUCACAUUCAAAUCUUUGACGAACAAGUAAUUUACUACCUAUUUAAAUAUGACCAUCAUCGCUGCAAAUUUUACAAAGCAAAACUAUACUUUCGGAAAAAUCAAGUUUUUCUUUAUUUUUCCAAAUAUUUUUUUAUAUGAAUUUGGACCUCAAUAAAUUAUAGCUUAUUUAUAUUGGAGCAGAUUUAUGAUGUUGGGCCAAAUAUAUUAUGUAACUUUGCAUAAUUUUAAAACAUUAGCUAUUAUUAAAUAUAAAUUUUAUUCUUAACAUUUUAGUAUAAUUUGGGCCUUGUAUAAAAUAUUUUUGUAGGCUAUUUGUUUGAAGCCUCACUUGUAUUCAUGGGGUAAAAAUAUUGAAAAACCCAUAAUAUUUUAGAUACUUAUCGAAUGUGAUUCUUUAAAUUUUUUGUAGAAUUUCAACCACAACUUUAAUUCUUCCAGUUUAAGAAUCCUCCUCAGCCAUCCAAUUUAUUUAGUCAAUCUUGUGCAAUAAGGAAUUCAUUUUAUCCUUUCCACCGCCUCAUUUUUUUUAUAAAAUUAGCUUCUCUCAUUUUCUGGAAAUAUUUCGAAAAUACAGCAAGCCAAAUUUGAUUUCCACAGCAGCAAAUUUUGAAGCAGCAAACUUUGAAGCAACAAAGUUUGAUUGAUCUCUUUUCACACUUUCACACGUUCUAUGUCAAAUAUUUCAAUCUAUUUAAACAUCAAUGUAUCAUUCUCAAAUUCACAAAUCAACAAAAAUUCACUCAAAUAUUUCCAAUUCGCAGCAACUGAUUUACUUCACUCAUUCAAGCUGGUAAUUUUAAUAACUUUCGAAAAGUUAUUUCAUUUCAAGCAUAUCAACAAUUUUCUGCAUUUUCGCCAAAACCAAUGCUAAACAUCAAAAACUUUGUUUUCAAAAUCCAAUCAUGCAUACAUCUAUUUUUCUGUAAUUUAUAUAUAUUGCUAAAUACAUGAAAAAGAAAAUAGAAUAAAUCUUAUAUAUUACAUGAGAAAUAGAGAUAGAAGAAGUGGAAGAGGGAUGGUGGCUUAGAAACAAGGGGGCGGUUGAGCAGCAGUAUUGCCGGCGCUGCACGUCGGCCGGCGGAAGGAGACAGGGGCGGCGGCGCUGUGGUCUCGACCGCUGCCGUGCCUUGCUGGUCGAGACAGAGGGAGCAGGAGGCGGCGAUGGAAGCCCCGCUGCUGCUGUCGGCCAGGAGGUGAAGGAGAUGAGGGAGGCGGUGACUAGGCGGCGCUGCUGUCGACGUGGGAGCGACGAUGGCGGCCGUUGCUACCGGCCGAAGGAGAGAGGGAGGGGGCUGUAGACACGGGGGUGAGGUCGUUGGAGAGAGAGACGACGCAGAGAGGGAGAGUGAGGGCGAGAGCCGCCAGCUCCGGCGGCGGCGUUGCCGUCUGGUGGCGGCGGAAGGGUGAGACCGAGGGAGAGAAGGAGAGAGGGAGAAAGGGGAAGAAGGGAGCUGCGCAUGGAGCGUGUAUUGUGAAGUAGUGGUGUGUGUGUGAGAUCUUUAAGUUAGGGCAAGAGAGGAGAGUGGGCUUGGGCUUAGGCCUAAGCUAAUUUAUGAAUGGGCUAAGUUUAUCAAGUGUUUGGACUAGCAUUUUAUUUAGUUAAUUCUUUUAAGCAGUAAGCAUAAUUUAUUUAAGCCCAUAAUUACUCUUUAUUCCCACUUCAGAUUUUCUCAAAAAUUUAUAUAAAUAAUUUUCUCAAGUUUAGUUAUAUUAAAGUACUUUGUAAAUUCAAUUAGGCCCUUAUGUUAAUUAUUUGAAUUUAUCUGACUAGGUGCGGCGCGACUAGGACGUGAACUUUAAAUUCUUGCAGUUAAUUUUCAAAACUCAAAAGUUCAAGUUUCAGGUGUGGGAUUUAUUUCAGUACAUGCACGUGGUUAAUAUUUGUCCAUUUUAAUAUUAUGUGUUUACCGUAUGUGUUGUAAAAAUAUUUAUCGCUAGGGGCCAGCAUAAUUGGUCCAGGACUUCACCGUCCUUGGUAUGCCACAAUGCGAUUUCACGUUACAGGGUUGCAACCAUUAUAUUGUCGCCAGGGAUCCAUAUAUAGGGUCCGGGACAUUAAAGUCCUUGGAGUUGCCACAGUGCGUAUGGAAGUUAUGUUACGUUAUGACAAUAUGUGUUACCAUUUUAUUAACAUGGACAAUUAUUGCAUGUUCCCACACUGAGUGUACCCUGUAUGCUCAUCCCAUAUUCAACAGUUUCAGGUGAUUGAUAUCGGAGGCGCGUGGAGAGUCGAAUGGGCGCGUCGAAUCUAUUUAAAGAUAAAUGUUUCUUAAAACAUAUUAUGUUAUUUCAUGUGAUAUCUUUUAGUUAUGUAAACUCUGAAAUUCUAUACUAUUUGAGAUUUGUGUAUGAUUUGUUUAAAUAAAUGUUAUUAUAUUAUUUUAAUGUCAUGACUUGUUUAAUUUAUA